Molecule: unclassified non-coding RNA, 544 nt
Filed under: Aspergillus tamarii
Lineage: Eukaryota; Fungi; Ascomycota; Eurotiomycetes; Eurotiales; Aspergillaceae
Description: sequence contains 18S rRNA gene, ITS1, 5.8S rRNA gene, ITS2, 28S rRNA gene
Rfam family: 5.8S ribosomal RNA (bases 192-345)
Source: RNAcentral
GAUCAUUACCGAGUGUAGGGUUCCUAGCGAGCCCAACCUCCCACCCGUGUUUACUGUAACCUUAGUUGCUUCGGCGGGCCCGCCUUUAAGGCCGCCGGGGGGCAUCAGCCCCCGGGCCCGCGCCCGCCGGAGACACCACGAACUCUGUCUGAUCUAGUGAAGUCUGAGUUGAUUGUAUCGCAAUCAGUUAAAACUUUCAACAAUGGAUCUCUUGGUUCCGGCAUCGAUGAAGAACGCAGCGAAAUGCGAUAACUAGUGUGAAUUGCAGAAUUCCGUGAAUCAUCGAGUCUUUGAACGCACAUUGCGCCCCCUGGUAUUCCGGGGGGCAUGCCUGUCCGAGCGUCAUUGCUGCCCAUCAAGCACGGCUUGUGUGUUGGGUCGUCGUCCCCUCUUCGGGGGGGACGGGCCCCAAAGGCAGCGGCGGCACCGCGUCCGAUCCUCGAGCGUAUGGGGCUUUGUCACCCGCUCUGUAGGCCCGGCCGGCGCUUGCCGAACGCAAAACAACCAUUCUUUCCAGGUUGACCUCGGAUCAGGUAGGGAUACC